GACGAACGCUGGCGGCGUGCUUAACACAUGCGAGUCGAACGGAAAGGCCCUGCUUUUGUGGGGUGCUCGAGUGGCGAACGGGUGAGUAACACGUGAGUAACCUGCCCUUGACUUUGGCAUAACUUCAGGAAACUGGGGCUAAUACCGGAUAGGAGCUCCUGCUGCAUGGUGGGGGUUGGAAAGUUUCGGCGGUUGGGGAUGGACUCGCGGCUUAUCAGCUUGUUGGUGGGGUAGUGGCUUACCAAGGCUUUGACGGGUAGCCGGCCUGAGAGGGUGACCGGCCACAUUGGGACUGAGAUACGGCCCAGACUCCUACGGGAGGCAGCAGUGGGGAAUAUUGCACAAUGGGCGGAAGCCUGAUGCAGCAACGCCGCGUGCGGGAUGACGGCCUUCGGGUUGUAAACCGCUUUCGCCUGUGACGAAGCGUGAGUGACGGUAAUGGGUAAAGAAGCACCGGCUAACUACGUG
Molecule: ribosomal RNA, 468 nt
Filed under: uncultured bacterium
Lineage: Bacteria
Description: partial 16S ribosomal RNA
Rfam family: Bacterial small subunit ribosomal RNA
Source: RNAcentral